GUGGGGUAGUGGCCUACCAAGGCGACGACGGGUAGCCGGCCUGAGAGGGUGACCGGCCACACUGGGACUGAGGCACGGCCCAGACUCCUACGGGAGGCAGCAGUGGGGAAUAUUGCGCAAUGGGCGAAAGCCUGACGCAGCGACGCCGCGUGGGGGAUGACGGCCUUCGGGUUGUAAACCUCUUUCAGCAGGGACGAAGCGAAAGUGACGGUACCUGCAGAAGCAGCACCGGCCAACUACGUGCCAGCAGCCGCGGUAAUACGUAGGGUGCAAGCGUUGUCCGGAAUUAUUGGGCGUAAAGAGCUCGUAGGCGGUUUGUUGCGUCGGCUGUGAAAACCUGAGGCUCAACCUCAGGCCUGCAGUCGAUACGAGCAGACUAGAGUGUUGCAGGGGAGACUGGAAUUCCUGGUGUAGCGGUGAAAUGCGCAGAUACCAGGAGGAACACCGAUGGCGAAGGCAGGUCUCUGGGCAUUAACUGACGCUGAGGAGCGAAAGCAUGGGGAGCGAACAGGAUUAGAUACCCUGGUAGUCCAUGCCGUAAACGUUGGGCACUAGGUGUGGGGGACAUUCCACGUUUUCCGCGCCGUAGCUAACGCAUUAAGUG
Molecule: ribosomal RNA, 604 nt
Filed under: uncultured Actinomycetes bacterium
Lineage: Bacteria; Bacillati; Actinomycetota; Actinomycetes
Description: bacterial SSU rRNA
Rfam family: Bacterial small subunit ribosomal RNA
Source: RNAcentral